This 1197-nucleotide ribosomal RNA is filed under the name uncultured organism. Its description in RNAcentral is "bacterial SSU rRNA". It matches the Rfam family "Bacterial small subunit ribosomal RNA", at positions 87 to 1262 of the family's 1533-position model. The record is from RNAcentral.
AGCGGAACGUGGCGAACGGGUGAGUAAUGAAUGGACGAUCUGCCCUGAAGACCGGGAUAAUCCAUCGAAAGGUGGGGUAAUACCGGAUGGCAUGAUAUUUUUUAGGAUUUAUCAUUAAAGGUGGCUUCGGCUUCCACUUCAGGAGGAGUUCAUUUCCUAUUAGCUUGUUGGUGAGGUAACGGCUCACCAAGGCCGAGAUGGGUAGGGGGCCUUAGCGGGUUAUCCCCCACACUGGGACUGAGACACUGCCCAGGUUCCUACGGGAGGCUGCAAUCGAGAAUCCUCUGCAAUGGACGAAAGUCUGACAGGGUGACGCCGCGUGGAUGAUGAAGGCCUAUCAGGUUGUAAAAUCCUUACAGGGAGUAUGAAACAGAUUCUGUAUAAUAUGCAGAAUAAUUGACGUAAAUCCCAGAUGAAGUCACGGCUAAAUUCGUGCCAGCAGCCGCGGUAAUACGAAUGUGGCAAGCGUUGUUCGGAAUCACUGGGCAUAAAGCGCACGUAGGUGGUUUAGUAAGUUAACUUUGAAAUCCCCCGGCUCAACCGGGGAAUAGGAGUUGAUACUGCUAAACUAGAGUACAGAAGGGGAGAGUGGAAUUCUUGGUGUAGCGGUGGAAUGCGAAGAUAUCAAGGAGAAGGCCGGUGGCGAAAGCGACUCUCUGGUCUGAUACUGACUCUGAGGUGCGAAAGCGUAGGUAGCGAACGGGAUUAGAUACCCCGGUAGUCUACGCCGUAAACGAUGGGCACUAGAUGGUGGAAUCGCCGAUAGAUUUCUCCGUCGAAGCAAAUGCGUUAAGUGCCCCGCCUGGGGAGUAUGGCCGCAAGGUUAAAACUCAAAGGAAUUGACGGGGGCCCACACAAGCGGUGGAGGAUGCGGCUUAAUUCGAGGAUACGCGUAGAACCUUACCAAGGUUUGACAUGUAGGGAUUAACCAGGUGAAAGCCUGGGGAUUGCUUUACGGUGUAACCUACACAGGUGCUGCAUGGCUGUCGACAGUUCGUGUCGUGAGAUGUUAGGUUAAGUCCUGAAACGAGCGAAACCCCUGUGCUUAAUUGCCAGCGCGUCAUGGCGGGGACAUUAAGCAGACUGCCUCGGCUAACGGGGAGGAAGGUGGGGAUGACGUCAAGUCAGCAUGGCCUUUAUGCCUUGGGCUGCACGCGUCCUACAAUGGGCUGUACAAUGGGGACCAAUAUCGCGAGA